UAAAAUACAAUUUUGGUUCGGAAACCGUUGCGAACAUUCAAAUAGAUAAGUGUUAUACUAACGAGAACUAACUGAUAGGAGAGCCAUCUGACAUUAACUUUGUGUAACUUUCUGAACGUACAUAUGAGCGCGAAUGACUAUUAUGUAUAGUGUUAUGUAUAUAGGUUACAACGGAGGUUCAAUUAGUUUUAAGAUUCAUUCUGUUAUAGCAUCCAGUAGAUGUAAGAUAGAAACGAAUAAAUAUUGUAACUAUAGUCGAAGGAGUUGCAUUUUAUUUCAUGGUCCUUCGUUCGCCAUCAAAAAGUAAUCAGCGAGACGAAGUGAUAUACAGUCCACAAAUCAAUUAUAACAAGUUCAAGUGCGACAGUUUCAAUCGGUGCGACAAACUGUUCUAAAAGUACGGGUGCCUGAGAAUUGGCCGGUUAAAUUUGAAAAUUCCGAGGAGUGGAAAUAGUUUGGUUCAUGGAAAUUAAAAUCGUCAAAUCCACUAAUUCAAAGAAAAAACCGAAAAUCGUUGGACAAUAGCCGUCGAAGAAAAGUUGUUGUGCGCAGAGUGGUACAAGGUCACUGAGUUGGUGGGAAUUUCCAGUUGAAAUUCGUUCGACGAAGAUAUUACGGCAAAGCAAGAUCAGCGAGUUGGUGGGAAUUUCCAGUUGAAAUUCGUUCGACGAAGAUAUUACGGCAAAGCAAGAUCAGCGAGUUGGUGGGAAUUUCCAGUUGAAAUUCGUCGAAGAAAAGUUGCUGUGCGCAGAGUGGUACAAGGUCACCGAGUUGGUCGAAGAAAAAUUGUUGUGUGCAGAGUGGUACAAGGUCACCGAGUUGGUGGAAGAAAAGUUGUUGUGCGCAGAGUGGUACAAGGUCACCGAGUUGGUGAAAGAAAAGUUGUUGUGCGCAGAGUGGUACAAGGUCACCGAGUUGGUGAAAGAAAAGUUGUUGUGCGCGGAGUGGUACAAGGUCACCGAGUUGGUGGAAACCAGUGGUUUAUAUCGAACUUGAGAAUCAACGGCCAAAAACAGUCGAUGGUCAGAGAAUCAAUCUAAGUUGGUAUUAACACAAUUGGCAUCAAGGCAAGAUUACCGAGUUGAAAGUCGUCGAAGAAAAGUAGUUGUACGUAAAGCGGUAGCAAGGUCAUCGAGUUGGUGGAAAGUUCCAGUAGAAUUUAUCGUUGUUCGUUACAUACCGUACGGAAGCAAUCGUGGAUCAACGUAAACCGUAAGCAGUGGAAUUGGUACAAUUGGCGAACAAAGCAAAGUCACCGAGUUGGUGGAAAGUUCCAGUAGAAUUUAUCGCUGUUUGUACCUACCGCACGAAGCAGUCAACGCAGGAAGCAUUCGUAGUCAUUGGGGAUCAAACUAGGUUGGAAUUGGUACAAUUGGCAACCGAGGCAAGAUUAUCGAGUUGGUGGAAAUUUCCAGUAGAAAUUCGUUCGAAGCAGGGUCAUCUGUUCCGAAGCAGUCUCGAAGUAAUCUAAUCGAUUGGAGCCGUGAAAAGGGUCAUCAAACGCUGUGCGUAGAUUUGGUUCAAGCCGCAGUCUCAUAAUCCAUUGGUCCAGAAGAUCAUCCAUUUUUCCAUAAUCCAUUGGUCCAGAAGAUCAUCCAUUGGUCCAGAAGAUCAUCCAUUUUUCCAUAAUCCAUUGGUCCAGACGAUUACCUAUUGGUCCACGCCACAUCCAUUGUCGAACAUGUCUGGGGAAACACAAUCAACCAAAGAAUCACAUAUCAUCAAACCGUGUGGAUUCACUUAUCUGAAGCACAAGCGGACGAAACAAUGUUCCAAAUUUCAGCAAUCGUCUCGACAUAACCUCAUUAUGGUUACCACGGAAAAAAGUUUUUUUUUUAUUUAUCGCGGAAUUUGAUUACACACACGUUAACUAGCUUUGUCUUAACAAAUUAACGUAAUAACGCGCACUUAGAAAUCAAUUAAAGUUAGUAUGCGCAUUUGGUUUACCGAUUAAAAAAAAAAAAAUAAUAAUAAUAAUUUCACUUUCACAUAAUGACAACGACGCGUUGCAACAAAGUAAAUUUCAGUUCGACAGCUGUUUCAAAACUAGGUCAUUGACACGUACAUUGUUUGAAAAUUUAGGACGUUCGAUUGGAUGAACAUUUGUAGUUGUGCGAUUUUGUUGUCAAAUUUUUUCUGUCAUUGUAAGAACUUUAAAUCACGAUCGUUUCGGGCUGGUUUCAACCGGGGUAGACUCGGCCAGUUGUUGCGAUGGUGAUUUAAAACGUUCAAAAAUUUUUAUAUCGUCAUUCUUAAUUUAAACAUGAAUGUUUCAAGUCGGGAAGUGGUUCGGAAACCGUUGCGAACAUUCAAAUAGAUAAGUGUUAUACUAACGAGAACUAACUGAUAGGAGAGCCAUCUGACAUUAACUUUGUGUAACUUUCUGAACGUACAUAUGAGCGCGAAUGACUAUUAUGUAUAGUGUUAUGUAUAUAGGUUACAACGGAGGUUCAAUUAGUUUUAAGAUUCAUUCUGUUAUAGCAUCCAGUAGAUGUAAGAUAGAAACGAAUAAAUAUUGUAACUAUAGUCGAA
Long non-coding RNA from Bradysia coprophila, 2532 nucleotides. NCBI's taxonomy places the organism in Eukaryota, Metazoa, Arthropoda, Insecta, Diptera, Sciaridae. The record is from RefSeq and is a predicted model, not a curated record.